AGGGUUUGAUCAUGGCUCAGAUUGAACGCUGGCGGCAGGCCUAACACAUGCAAGUCGAGCGGAAACAGGAAGGUGCUUGCACCUUUGCUGUCGAGCGGCGGACGGGUGAGUAAUGCCUAGGGAACUGCCCAGUCGAGGGGGAUAACAGUCGGAAACGACUGCUAAUACCGCAUACGCCCUACGGGGGAAAGGAGGGGACGCGCUUUUCGGAGUGCGCCUUUCGCGAUUGGAUGUACCUAGGUGGGAUUAGCUAGUUGGUAAGGUAAUGGCUUACCAAGGCGACGAUCCCUAGCUGGUCUGAGAGGAUGAUCAGCCACACUGGAACUGAGACACGGUCCAGACUCCUACGGGAGGCAGCAGUGGGGAAUAUUGCACAAUGGGCGCAAGCCUGAUGCAGCCAUGCCGCGUGUGUGAAGAAGGCCUUCGGGUUGUAAAGCACUUUCAGCGAGGAGGAAAGGUUGUAGUUUAAUAAACUAUAGCUGUGACGUUACUCGCAGAAGAAGCACCGGCUAACUUCGUGCCAGCAGCCGCGGUAAUACGAGGGGUGCAAGCGUUAAUCGGAAUUACUGGGCGUAAAGCGUACGCAGGCGGUUUGUUAAGCAAGAUGUGAAAGCCCCGGGCUCAACCUGGGAAUUGCAUUUUGAACUGGCAAACUAGAGUCUUGUAGAGGG
This 671-nucleotide ribosomal RNA is filed under the name uncultured bacterium. Its description in RNAcentral is "bacterial SSU rRNA". It matches the Rfam family "Bacterial small subunit ribosomal RNA", at positions 8 to 658 of the family's 1533-position model. The record is from RNAcentral.